Molecule: ribosomal RNA, 205 nt
Filed under: uncultured Lactobacillus sp.
Lineage: Bacteria; Bacillati; Bacillota; Bacilli; Lactobacillales; Lactobacillaceae
Description: partial 16S ribosomal RNA
Rfam family: Bacterial small subunit ribosomal RNA
Source: RNAcentral
CAGAUGCUAAUACCGGAUAACAACAGAUGAUGCCUAUCAACUGUUUAAAAGAUGGUUCUGCUAUCACUCUUGGAUGGACCUGCGGUGCAUUAGCUAGUUGGUAGGGUAACGGCCUACCAAGGCGAUGAUGCAUAGCCGAGUUGAGAGACUGAUCGGCCACAUUGGGACUGAGACACGGCCCAAACUCCUACGGGAGGCAGCAGCA